RNAcentral lists this ribosomal RNA (337 nucleotides) under uncultured bacterium. RNAcentral's name for it is "partial 16S ribosomal RNA". It matches the Rfam family "Bacterial small subunit ribosomal RNA", at positions 338 to 672 of the family's 1533-position model. The record is from RNAcentral.
CCUACGGGGGACAGCAGUGAGGAAUAUUGGUCAAUGGGCGCGAGCCUGAACCAGCCAAGUAGCGUGAAGGAUGACUGCCCUACGGGUUGUAAACUUCUUUUAUAAAGGAAUAAAGUGAGGCACGUGUGCCUUUUUGUAUGUACUUUCUGAUUAAGGAUCGGCUAACUCCGUACCAGCAGCCGCGGUAAUACGGAGGAUCCGAGCGGUAUCCGGAUUUAUUGGGUUUAAAGGGAGCGUAGAUGGGUUGUUAAGUCAGUUGUGAAAGUUUGCGGCUAAACCGUAAAAUUGCAAUUGGUACUGGCAGCCUUGAAUACAGUUGAGAUAGACGGAAUUCGUG